This is a long non-coding RNA of Oryzias javanicus (javanese ricefish), 3258 nucleotides long. The record is from Ensembl. NCBI's taxonomy places the organism in Eukaryota, Metazoa, Chordata, Actinopteri, Beloniformes, Adrianichthyidae.
UCAGGUUUAGAACCUGCGGUUCCCCCGGGUGAACGAGUGGAACUUUGUGGUUCUUCUGUUGACUUUGAUGAUGGACUGAAGUCCUUCACUGUGAUGUGGACUUUGUCCAGUACCCCCAUGACUUUUAGGAGGAAACAACAGUGAUCAUAGAUGCAGGACACGUGUGUUGGGGGCGGGGCUUUUAGAACAUGCAGAUGUUGGAUGAUCCGGGGUGGAGGACACGCCUCCAUCCUGAUGUCAUUUGUCAAACUGCAUCCACUGCUGCUGGCUGUAAUGAUGCUCGGAUCCUCCAGGAACAGCAUGAUCAUUCCAUGACCACCUCCUGCACCUCCUCACUGCCUGAAGCCAGCGAGCUCCACGCUCCACGACCCGGCAAAUCCGACCCAGAACCUGGAGGAGGACACCCUCAGAGGUCUGGUGCUGGAGAUGACAAGAGAGUCCUGGAGUUGAAGGAACAUCGGAUCACGACCGUGAGGUUCCGGCAUGAGGAGUCCACAGAACAGAACCACAGCAGACAAACCAACCGGACUCUGGGUUCUGGAGGGAGGUCUGAGUUCACCUGCCAACCAGGUCCGGUGGGAGGUCAUUAACCUUCUGCCUCUGAGGACCGCUGGACCUCGGCUCUCCUGAUUGGUCCCUGCGGUUCCUCUGUCUCUGAGGAUGGAAACUGGCUGAUGAGGUGACCUCCGACCCCAGAGAGUCCAGCCUCACCGGAACAGAAGGUUCUUCAUCACAUUCAGUGGUUCUGAUUGAACAGGAUCUGGACUCUUCCUGCUGGAGGACCGGUUCUUCAGAACUCGUGCUGACCCGUCUGAGCCUGAAACGGAACAUCUCCUCCUUACAGAACCGCCAGGAGAUCUCAGUUUUAUUUUGGAAAGGAAUGGACUUCCUGUCAGCAGGAUCUGCUCUGCACCUGCUGGGGUUUUUCAGAAUAAAAGCACAGAAUUCCUGGCCUGCAGGUAAAUGUCUGCACCGUUUGGUUGAACAGAUGCUCACUUCAAGUUCUCCAGUAACUUUCAGCUUCAACUGGACGCCGCAGUUUCUGUUUGCUGAGGUUAGAGCGGGUGGUGAUGCUGUCAUGGUGCGGGCCAGGUGCAUGAGGGCGUCUGCAGACGUCUGAUCGCAUGUCGGUUCUUCGUGGUCAUCAGCGUGAUCCUCGACGGCGAUCUAUGCAGAAGCCCCUCCCCCAUCCGCCUGGAUCCUCACUUUCCUGCAGAUGGUCUGAGAACGAGUCCAGAGACCAGAACCACGGAACCCAAAGUUCUGCUGAUCUGCCCGGCCCAGAGGCCUGUCCUUCAGACAGGAAGUCCUCAUCAGCAGACAGGAAGUGCAACAGCCAAUCAGGAUUUCUGCUUUUUUUACCUAAACUGACGGAGUCUGGAUUUCCAUGAAUCCGUUUCAACCUCCGCAGCCGUCGGCCACCAGAGGGCAGCAGCACGGCGGAACCAGCACUGCUGCUGACAUUACAUCACUUCCUGUGACAUCACAGGAAGUGUUCAGGUGUUCCUUUAACGCUGCAAACCAGAGGCCAACUUCUGCCUUCUAACUUUUGUUGAGGAUAAAUACUACAAAAAAAAAACAACAUCAUUAAUCUGGUAUUUUCAAAAUAAAACAACAAACAAGAAUCCAGUGUUUGUAACUUUAAUAGCAGCAUUAUCGUAUCAUUAGAGAGUCAUCACAUUUCAUGCAGAGCAGCUGGUUCCAGCAGAGAUCCUGUUGAGUUUCUGAAAUCCAGAUUUCUUUUAUUUUGAAAUCAAAGGUUCUACGUUUGUUUCCUGUACCGCUCUUUUCUGCAUAAAAAUGUUUAUUUUUUCUAGUUUGAGGAUGUUAGUUUCAAUGUUUUAAUAAUAGCAAAUGGACAAUGACUCAAGGUGAAACCGCCCCCCAGUGGUGAUCUGCUGAACUGACCUGGCUCCAGGUCGUUUGGUUUGAAACCAUCUUAAAGAAAGAGGAGGAGCUCCGCCUGGAUGGAGCAGGUCUUACCGGUCAGAUCUUCAUCUUCUGCUUCCAGUUUGACUAAAAGAAGAGGAUCUGACAGCCAGGCUUUUAUUCUGAAAAGCAGGAUUGAGUCUUCCUGCAGACUCUAUAUUUGUGGCACAAAGAAACCUUCAGGAGACUAGAGACCAGCUCUGGUCCUGCAGGACCUGAAUCAGAGUGGAUCCACCAUCUGCUCCAGAGUCUCAUGGAACCGGGUCCACUGGACCUCCUGGUCCGGGUCUGGACCUCCUGGUCCCGGUCUGGACCUCCUGGUCCCGGUCUGGACCUCCUGCUCUACCUCUCAGAUCGCAGCUUGUAGCGCAGGACAAAGUAAGCCAUGAGUCGCAGAGACAGGAAGAAGAUGGCGAGGAUGAGGAAGUCCAGGUAGAGUUUGGCGUCCAGCAUGUCCAGCUCCUUCAGGAUUGCGUCCGACUUCUGGAAGUGGCAGGUGUCGUUCUCAUCGCAGUGCAGGUCGGCCCGGUCCAGACCGUAGAUGGACAGGAUGACGCCCUCGAAGCCGUACCUGAAACGCAGCGGCAGGUUCAGCGGCGUGGGCAGACGGGGCGCUGCUGCGCACGCCGCCGGACGUCCAGAACUUCUGUGGGUCGGUGGAGGACCGGCCAGAACAAGAACUGGACCUUUCUGUGUGCUUCUGUCAAACGGCGCCCCCACCUGACAUAGGAGAUGUAGGAGAUCCACUGCAGGUACCAGGGGAUGGUGUCGAAGCUGACGAAGAACCCGGAGAACAGCAGGACCGGGAUGGCGGUGACCGGACCCACGAACGUGGCCACCUGCAGGAGAGAACCCGCCUGAGCCGGUCUGAGAGCCAACGGGAGCGUGGGGGGUGGGGGCGGGGGCAGACCUGCAGGGAGGUGGAGGCGGCGCCGAUCAGCAGGCCCAGACUCUGCGCCACCAGAGACGUCAGAACCCCCAGAGACAGGAAGAGGAAGAAGCGCGCGGCGUCCGGCGGCUGGGCCGUCAUCCAGUACACGAUGCUGCAGUACACCAGCGGGAACGCCACCUGCCCCCCCACACGCCAACACCACAUCUCAAUCGCGGUGCGUUCACUGACCCUCAGACGUCUGGAGCUCUUUGAUCUAAACCAGCUCCAGACUUUCACGCUUCACAUGAAAACCUGGAAUUCUCUUAAAUCCAGAUUCAAGACUCUGAAAAACAGAAACUUGUAUUUUGAUCAAAUAUAAGCUUUUAUUUUUAAACUGAAACAUAUUUUGAUCAUAUGUUUUGGAGUAAAAUAAGGAGUUCAAAUGCAAACAGUGGUGG